GGGUACAGCUCAGUGGUGUAGUGCCUGCUUAGCAUGCACGAGGUCCUGGGUUCAAUCCCCAGUACUGCCA
Molecule: transfer RNA, 70 nt
Filed under: Camelus bactrianus (Bactrian camel)
Lineage: Eukaryota; Metazoa; Chordata; Mammalia; Artiodactyla; Camelidae
Also listed under: 2 other names
Rfam family: tRNA
About the family: Transfer RNA (tRNA) molecules are approximately 80 nucleotides in length.
Source: Rfam by way of RNAcentral